AGGGGUUCAGAGGAGAGGCAGGAUGGCCAUGUAGUAGUAGGGGGUCAGGGGAUCAGGGGAGAGGCAGGAUGGCCAUGUAGUAAUAGGGGGUCAGGAUAUCAGGGGAGGGGCAGCAUGGCCAUGUAGUAUAGGGGGAUCAGGGGAGAGGCAGGAUGGCCAUGUAGUAGUAGGGGAUCAGGGGAUCAGGGGAGGGGCAGGAUGGCCAUGUAGUAGUAGGGGGUCAGGGGAUCAAGGGAGAGGCAGGAUGGCCAUUUAGUAGUAGAGGGUCAGGGGAUCAGGGGAGGGGCAGGAUGGCCAAGCCAUGUAGUAAAAGGGGGUCAGGGGAUCAGGGGAGGUGCAGGAUGGCCAUGUAGUAGUAGGGGAUCAGGGGAUCAGGGGAGAGGCAGGAUGGCCAUGUAGUAGUAGGGGUCAGGGGAUCAGGGGAGAGGCAGGAUGGCCAUGUAGUAGUAGAGGGUCAGGGGAUGAGGGGAGGGGCAGGAUGGCCAUGUAGUAGUAGAGGGUCAGGGGAUCAGGGGAGAGGCAGGAUGGCCAUGUAGUAGUAGGGGUCAGGGGGA
This is a long non-coding RNA of Oncorhynchus tshawytscha (Chinook salmon), 554 nucleotides long. NCBI's taxonomy places the organism in Eukaryota, Metazoa, Chordata, Actinopteri, Salmoniformes, Salmonidae. The record is from Ensembl.